AGUAUAGUGGCGCACGGGUGAGUAACACGUGGAUGAUCUACCUCCUUGUGGGGAAUAACCCUGGGAAACCGGGGCUAAUACCGCAUACGUUCGAGAGAAGAAAGCCGAAAGGCGCAGGGAGAGGAGUCCGCGGUCGAUUAGCUAGUUGGCAGGGUAAUGGCCUACCAAGGCGACGAUCGAUAGCCGGCCUGAGAGGGCACACGGCCACACUGGCACUGAAACACGGGCCAG
RNAcentral lists this ribosomal RNA (231 nucleotides) under uncultured bacterium. RNAcentral's name for it is "partial 16S ribosomal RNA". It matches the Rfam family "Bacterial small subunit ribosomal RNA", at positions 89 to 334 of the family's 1533-position model. The record is from RNAcentral.